This 253-nucleotide ribosomal RNA is filed under the name uncultured bacterium. RNAcentral describes it as "partial 16S ribosomal RNA". It matches the Rfam family "Bacterial small subunit ribosomal RNA", at positions 524 to 776 of the family's 1533-position model. The record is from RNAcentral.
UACGUAGGGGGCAAGCGUUGUCCGGAAUCAUUGGGCGUAAAGAGCGUGUAGGCGGCCAGAUAAGUCCGCUGUGAAAUCUCGAGGCUCAACUUCGAGCUGUCGGUGGAAACCGUCUGGCUAGAGUCCGGAAGAGGAGAGUGGAAUUCCUGGUGUAGCGGUGAAAUGCGCAGAUAUCAGGAAGAACACCCGUGGCUAAGGCGGCUCUCUAGUACGGUACUGACGCUGAGACGCGAAAGCGUGGGGAGCGAACAGG